CAGAGCCGCGGUAAUACGUAGGUGGCAAGCGUUGUCCGGAAUUAUUGGGCGUAAAGGGCUCGCAGGCGGUUUCUUAAGUCUGAUGUGAAAGCCCCCGGCUCAACCGGGGAGGGUCAUUGGAAACUGGGAAACUUGAGUGCAGAAGAGGAGAGUGGAAUUCCACGUGUAGCGGUGAAAUGCGUAGAGAUGUGGAGGAACACCAGUGGCGAAGGCGACUCUCUGGUCUGUAACUGACGCUGAGGAGCGAAAGCGUGGGGAGCGAACAGGAUUAGAUACCCCAGUAGUCCCUGUCUCUUAUACA
Molecule: ribosomal RNA, 301 nt
Filed under: uncultured bacterium
Lineage: Bacteria
Description: partial 16S ribosomal RNA
Rfam family: Bacterial small subunit ribosomal RNA
Source: RNAcentral